GCAAGUCGAACGAACUCUUCGGAGUUAGUGGCGGACGGGUGAGUAACACGUGGGAACGUUCCUUUAGGUUCGGAAUAACUCAGGGAAACUUGUGCUAAUACCGAAUGUGCCCUUCGGGGGAAAGAUUUAUCGCCUUUAGAGCGGCCCGCGUCUGAUUAGCUAGUGGGGGAGGUAAAGGAUGACCAAGGCGACGAUCAGUAGCUGGUCUGAGAGGAUGAGC
Molecule: ribosomal RNA, 220 nt
Filed under: uncultured bacterium
Lineage: Bacteria
Description: partial 16S ribosomal RNA
Rfam family: Bacterial small subunit ribosomal RNA
Source: RNAcentral